CCUUUCAGGUAAUCGCUGCGCCAAAAGCGUAGAGGAAAGUCCAUACUCGCACAAGCUGCGAUGCUUGUAGUGUUCGUGUCUAGCGAAUUCAUAAGCUAGAGUAGUCAGCAUGUCUGGCUAACGGCAAGCGUUUUGCCUAAGUCUUUUAAGAUACGGCAUACACGCUUUGAAAGUGCCACAGUGACGUAGUCUGCUUGGAAACGAGUAGAGUGGAACGCGGUAAACCCCUCGAGCGAGCAACCCAAACAAUGGUAGGGGCAUUGUCUUGCCUGGAAAUGAACAGAGCAAGAUGAAUGAUGAAACAACUAUGUUUCAUUGUAGAUAGAUGGUUACCACCUGAGUACGAGGCUCAUCCCCGUUUGUAGUACGAUGGAACAGAACAUGGCUUAUCGAU
Molecule: RNase P RNA, 394 nt
Filed under: Shouchella lonarensis
Lineage: Bacteria; Bacillati; Bacillota; Bacilli; Caryophanales; Bacillaceae
Description: Bacterial RNase P class B
Rfam family: Bacterial RNase P class B
About the family: Ribonuclease P (RNase P) is a ubiquitous endoribonuclease, found in archaea, bacteria and eukarya as well as chloroplasts and mitochondria. Its best characterised activity is the generation of mature 5'-ends of tRNAs by cleaving the 5'-leader elements of precursor-tRNAs.
Source: Rfam by way of RNAcentral